UACGUAGGGUGCAAGCGUUUGUCCGGAAUUAUUGGGCGUAAAGAGCUCGUAGGCGGUUUUGUUGCGUCGGCUGUGAAAAUCCCGAGGCUCAACCUCGGGUCUGCAGUCGAUACGAGCAAACUAGAGUGUUGCAGGGGAGACUGGAAUUCCUGGUGUAGCGGUGAAAUGCGCAGAUAUCAGGGAGGAACACCCUGCGGCGAAGGCGGGUUGCUGGGCUGACACUGACGCUGGAAGCGCGAAAGCUAGGGGAGCGAACGGG
Molecule: ribosomal RNA, 259 nt
Filed under: uncultured bacterium
Lineage: Bacteria
Description: partial 16S ribosomal RNA
Rfam family: Bacterial small subunit ribosomal RNA
Source: RNAcentral